RNAcentral lists this ribosomal RNA (341 nucleotides) under Euphaea sp. RG6. RNAcentral's name for it is "partial 16S ribosomal RNA". The stretch from base 1 to 139 matches the Rfam family "Archaeal large subunit ribosomal RNA", at positions 2006 to 2146 of the family's 2987-position model. The record is from RNAcentral. Lineage: Eukaryota; Metazoa; Arthropoda; Insecta; Odonata; Euphaeidae.
AACGGCCGCGGUAUAUUGACCGUGCAAAGGUAGCAUAAUCAUUAGUCUUUUAAAAGGAGGCUGGAAUGAAAGGUUUGACGAGACAUUUACUGUCUCAGCCUUAAUUAUUAAAAUUUAACUUUUGAGUUAAAAGGCUUAAAUUUUGUUGGAAGACGAGAAGACCCUAUAGAGCUUUAUGGUUUUUUCUUUNNNNNNNNNAUUUUCUUUAUAAUUAGUUUUAUUGANUUAAACUUUUUUGUUGGGGUGACAAGAAAUAUAUAUUUAACUUUUNUUAUUUNAUAAUACAUUUAUUUAUGAUUUAUUAGAUCCAUUAUUAGUGAUUAUUAGAGUAAGUUACCUUA